RNAcentral lists this long non-coding RNA (3036 nucleotides) under Sus scrofa (pig). Its description in RNAcentral is "lncRNA (ENSSSCG00000060894.1)". Lineage: Eukaryota; Metazoa; Chordata; Mammalia; Artiodactyla; Suidae. The record is from RNAcentral.
UUCUUUUAUUAUUCUUGCAGGCUAUCUUUGCCUGCCUUUGUAAACCUGCUAAUUGCUUGACCUUUUCAAGUUUUUAAAAUAGAGUCAUUUAGAAUAGAUUGCAGGAAAGGAGAAAACUAAAGAAUUUAAACUUUAAAUAAUUCCCUCAUAAUGACUUACUUAGAUGAAAACACUUCCAUUACAUAAUUUUCAAUGCACACGUUGCAGAGUUCUUUUUUUCAAAAUUGGUAAAAAUUAUUACUCUUUCCCUUGGGACAUAAAAUGCUUGCUAUUACCCUCUCUGUUAGGAAUUCAGGGCACAAUAGACACUGAACAAAAUACCUUGGGAAGCCAUGACACCUGCCUAUAGGCUUAACCCAGAGCAUUGUGAAUACAUUCCUCAAAGUACAUCUCCUAUCCUAAGUUCAUUUGAUGGGGUAGAAAAUGCAACUGAAACAGAUCAUCAUAACAAGUCACUACCAUUAUACUGUGUCUACUUGGUUCUGACAUUAAAUUUUUAUAUUUAACAUAUAUAAGAUUGGGAUGCUUCAUAAAAUUGAUGUAUACAUCCACUCUGGUAGUUUUCUUUUUCUUCUUUUCUGUGGUAAAGCUAUUUUUAAACUGUUUCCUUUAUUAUCCAUGGAGCUUUAAAAUUGAAGAAAUAGGUCAUCUUAAAAAUUCAAAGAAGCCAGAAGAAAUCACAUGAGUAAAAACAAAUAGUCAUCUUAGAAAUUUCCAGUCCUGCACAGGCGAGUCUAGCGAAUGGUGUCACAACCACAAUACUUUAGCUCUGAUACAUGGAGGAAUUGAUUGUGUGAAAAAAUUAUUUCUCUUAAUUCAGUCAAUAUUUAUUAGAUGCCAGCCAUAUGCCAACCAUUAUGGGAGGCAUCAGUCUUUUAAAGAUGAAUAAGAUAAAGUCUGCACAUUUUGAAAUAAAACUUAAGGUUUUUGUUUUUAAAAAAUUGCCUCAUUUUUCUAACCAUAAAAUUGCUAUACAAUAAGUGAAAGACACUUUAAAAAUCUGAAAGAACAUAGCCAAAUCAAUUUAAUGGGCCAUAAUAAAAUGUAAACCAACUAUAUGGUGCUCUUUAACCUGGAAUGAGAGUCAUGAGUUUAACAGUAAUGAAUUUAUGACUCAUUAAGACUAAAAGAGGUUGCAAUUUUAAAAGGAACAUGAUAUUUAAGUGACAGUUUAAAAGGCAUUAAAUUACUGUGUUCAGCCUUGUAUUUCACAAAUCUUUAAAGGGCAACAAAAAAUAUUUGUAACAAUGUGGCUUACUCCAUUUUUCCUAUUUGUCACAACUUUUAAUUGCCACCAUGCUAGUGAUUUCAACUGUAUUGAUUAAAGAUUAUUUUCAUAAGACUUCAAAAGGACUUUAAAAGAGGGUGUUCUGACAGACUCUAUUCUACGUAUUUAAUAUCUGUUCAUUACUGUCCUUUCUUUUUCCUUUUUAGGGUGUUUGCUUUAAUAUAAGAUCUUGUUAGUAACCAUGAGUUAUAGGAAAUGAAGGCUCUAACAGUGAAAACUGAUACAUUUUGACAGCCAGUUUCAUUUAUUCAAAGUGUAGAUUGAGACUAUGAAAAAGUGAUCAUCUUCUUUCCAUCUUGAAUCUGGGAUAGUGAGAGAACCCAGGAAUAAAAUGAGGGGUGGGGAUUUCUGAUCAAUGGUAAAAAGCAUGAGGAUCCAUCUACAAGAGGCAGAAGGCCAAGGGAAGAGUUGGCAUGUGUUAAGGUCUUCUUGAGUGGUUGAACCCCUGGGGGAGUGCCUGUCUUCUUCAUGCCCUUUCAUACAUCUGUUUUGGGCUGGACCAAGGUCAAGUCUGCAGAGUGACAUAUUAUCUUUGAAUUUACUGUGUUGUACACUAGGAGACUAGUGACUGCUACUCCAAGUUCUAUGGUUUCCAAACUAGUCCCUUAGUCUUGGGUUUGUUGUGGGUGCAAGAAAGUGCUGUCAUUAGGAGAGGCUGUUGUCUUAGCCAGGGUGGUGCUUUCUGUCAACAUAUACACAUGAAAAAUCAAGUCUACCUCAGAGACAGGCAUAGCGUGUGGACCUAAGGGUGCAUUUGCCCUUUUGGAUGUCAGCAGGAGGCAGGUGAUGAGGAAGUGUUGGACUGGUUUCUCUUUAACUGCGUUAUAGGGAAGGUUCAAGUGUCAUAUUUUGAAGUGACAUCAUGAAGACAGGGGUAAGAGCUAGGGUGAUGAUAUUAAAGGAGGUAAGAAGAAGGUGGCACAGAGAUGUGCCAGUCUUUUUCUCAAACACAAGUUUUUUGUUUGUUUUGUUUUUUUCCUUUGGCCACCCCCUGUGGCAUAUGGAUGUUCCUGGGCCACGGAUCAAAUCUGAGCUGAAGUUGCAACCUACACCACAGCUGCAUCAAUGCCAGAUCCUUAACCCACUGUGCCAUAGUGGGAACUCCAACACAAGUAAUUUUUUGAGGCUGGAGGAUCAGAAUUCAAUGAGACCUUCCAUUUCAAACACCUUGCAAAACCCAAAUGUUUUGAUAAAUAUCAGGUUAAAUUUUCUUCUACUUUUUCUGCCCUUUUUGAAUUUUCAGUGUUUCCUGUCCAUACUAAAUGCAGAUUUUCAAUCUGGCAGUAAUUUUAUGUCUGUAUCUGUAUCACAAGCUACAUAUAUAUGACUCUCUAUAUAUAUGACUUAAAAGUUUUUCUUUAAGGUAAACAAAGAAGACUUUUCUUUAGGGAAUGGAAUUAGAUGUUGCAUUUGGACCAAGGGGAUGUUAUUUAGGCAGAGAUGAUACUCUACUGGAGAUGUUAUUUAGGCAGAGAUGAUACUCUACUGGAAGUAUCGCAAAAGUAUUUGGGGGUGAAAAUGUAUCCUAGGAAACACUCUAAACCACUAUCCAAAUCAGUUAAUGAUAUAAGAUGAAGGAAACUAUAAAUUCUUUAGCGAAAACAUUAUCUUUGCGAUAAUUCGGAGGCAGCUGCAUUCUGUGAACUGCUAUUUAUGUUUCUUUAAAUAGCAGCAUUAUUGCAAGAAGAUGGAAGUUUUAACUCUGGCAUUUUACAGUUUUCUGAAUAUACACAAUGCAAUAUAUAUAU